GAAUAUCUGUGAUGUACGUCGUACUCUCAUUAGUGUUGACCGAACAAUUAAUAUUACCUUGGGAAUUAACCAGUUAUUAACAGAAAACAUGCCCUAUCACUUGGUAGUUUGAAUUAAUACUAACGAUUCCCACCUGCAUGUAAAGCGGGUUCAACCAGACAGAGUACAUAACGGCAUCGACGGAUAUUUU
Molecule: non-coding RNA, 190 nt
Organism: Enterococcus sp. 6C8_DIV0013
Lineage: Bacteria; Bacillati; Bacillota; Bacilli; Lactobacillales; Enterococcaceae
Source: Rfam